Oryza sativa Japonica Group (Japanese rice) is the source of this 788-nucleotide long non-coding RNA. RefSeq lists it as uncharacterized. The record is from RefSeq and is a predicted model, not a curated record. Lineage: Eukaryota; Viridiplantae; Streptophyta; Magnoliopsida; Poales; Poaceae.
UAAAACGGAAGGGGUACCUUGCUGCCUCCCGGGUGCGAUAGUCCAGCCGCAUCGGCAUCUACAAACGCGGCGGUCGAGGCGAAGAAGCUCCUGGCGACGACCUUGCUCCGGACGAAGGAUCGGAGAUGCCGUCUCUGCUGCGCCUGCGCCCGUCGGCUGUUCUUCGCACUCUUUCCGCGCCCCCGUAUUCUUCCUCUGCGACACAUAGCAGUAAAAAGGUGAAUGAGCCACUUGAUAUGAAGAAUAUAGACCUUGCGUUGGACAAAGUAUUUAUUAUAUGUGGGGGCAUUAGAAUUCUUGCUGCAGAGAGCAAGCCACGGAGUCUGUCUGCCCAGUGGGCAUUGGGUGUUAGUCAUAUUCUUGUUGUUGGGGCGAUUGCAAAGGCUUUGAACAUUGGAGAUCGAGACUCAGCCAUUUGAUAAUAUAAUAGACAAUAGCUGACCUGUCAGAGGGUGGAAAUGCUUCGGUGAGCAGACGUGGCGCACUACUAAUAUGAUGGAUUUACAGCAAUGACUGAAACUUUUUUGCUUUGCUUGUGUUUGGAGAAUAAAAUCUUACCUUUGGACUUUGGUCAUGUGGUGUCCUCUUAGAAAGUAUAAGGGGUGAGCUGGGACAAAGGGAGAAGGGGUUAGGAGGUCUUGGGUUACCAAGGAGAAACUUCAACACAUUUACUUAAGUUCUUAUGAAAUCCAGAAGAGAAAGGAAGAGUAUUCUGAGUAGUGGUAAACUUAAGAUCCUUCAAGCCAGGAGUACGAUAUUACACCUCUGGGUAGCCCGAACCUUUACAA